GGGCCAUAGCUCAGUGGCACAGCACCUGCCUUGCAAGCAGAAGGUCCCAGGUUCAGUCCUGGCAUCUCCA
Non-coding RNA from Podarcis lilfordi (Lilford's wall lizard), 70 nucleotides. Lineage: Eukaryota; Metazoa; Chordata; Lepidosauria; Squamata; Lacertidae. The record is from the annotation of a GenBank genome assembly.